RNAcentral lists this ribosomal RNA (253 nucleotides) under uncultured bacterium. RNAcentral describes it as "partial 16S ribosomal RNA". It matches the Rfam family "Bacterial small subunit ribosomal RNA", at positions 524 to 776 of the family's 1533-position model. The record is from RNAcentral.
UACGAAGGGGGCUAGCGUUGUUCGGAAUCACUGGGCGUAACGGGCGCGUAGGCGGCUUUUCACGUCGGGGGUGAAAGCCUGUGGCUCAACCACAGAAUUGCCUUCGAUACUGUUAGGCUUGAGACCGGAAGAGGUGAGUGGAACUGCGAGUGUAGAGGUGAAAUUCGUAGAUAUUCGCAAGAACACCAGUGGCGAAGGCGGCUCACUGGUCCGGUUCUGACGCUGAGGCGCGAAAGCGUGGGGAGCAAACAGG